Molecule: ribosomal RNA, 292 nt
Filed under: uncultured bacterium
Lineage: Bacteria
Description: partial 16S ribosomal RNA
Rfam family: Bacterial small subunit ribosomal RNA
Source: RNAcentral
GUGCCAGCAGCCGCGGUAAGACAGAGGGUGCAAACGUUGUUCGGAAUUACUGGGCGUAAAGCGCGUGUAGGCGGCCAUCUAAGUCGGGCGUGAAAUCCCACGGCUCAACCGUGGAAGUGCACUCGAAACUGGAUGGCUAGAGUCCUGGAGAGGAAGGUGGAAUGCUUGGUGUAGAGGUGAAAUUCGUAGAUAUCAAGCGGAACACCGGUGGCGAAGGCGGCCUUCUGGACAGUGACUGACGCUGAGACGCGAAAGCGUGGGGAGCAAACAGGAUUAGAUACCCGCGUAGUCC